UGUCACAUGAUCCGCGUAACUCCCAUGGAGCUCUCAGAUGAGAGGCUUCCCAAAACCCGAAGGAAGGUGAUGGUGGUUUCCUCACAUCCUCUGCUGCCCCCCCACCCCCCGCCCACGCUCUCUUAUGUUUCUUGUACUUUGUCAGGUCUGCUUCCUUUUCAGACCCUACUUAGGUUGCAGCUUUUACCUGGAGAAAACAGAGGAGAAGUGUUGAGUGAAAGGCAAUAAUCCAGUGUUACCUUCCCCAUCUUUUGACUGCUAGGAUGGCUGAUGCAAAGUCUCCCGAGAGAUCUGUGGAAUUAAUCUCUUGUCAUUGACUUCACAUUGGUGAGAUAGCAUCUUCACUCAUCUCUGUUAUUUUACACUGGUGGUCUGUGAUCAAUAGGAGCUUGGACACAGGCAUGUCACUGAUGUUUCAUUUCCAAGAGUGGGCUCUAAGCUAAAUGAGAGUUUCUGCUGUUAAUUUGUCAUGGAUUCCUCACCUAUAGCAAGAGUGAUGAUGAAUCUUCCUCAAGAGAUCUCCAAAGUGUAAAGUGAAACAGUG
RNAcentral lists this long non-coding RNA (544 nucleotides) under Cricetulus griseus (Chinese hamster). RNAcentral describes it as "lncRNA (ENSCGRG00015039234.1)". Lineage: Eukaryota; Metazoa; Chordata; Mammalia; Rodentia; Cricetidae. The record is from RNAcentral.